Long non-coding RNA from Capsicum annuum, 1364 nucleotides. RefSeq lists it as uncharacterized. The record is from RefSeq and is a predicted model, not a curated record. Lineage: Eukaryota; Viridiplantae; Streptophyta; Magnoliopsida; Solanales; Solanaceae. The transcript has 2 exons.
CCUUGACCUUUGAUUUUGCUUUUAUUUUUAAGCGUCUUCGGUGCAACUCCUGGCAAAUCCAAACAAUAUGAUACUGAACAAUCAAUCCAGUCAAAUUAAGAUGGGAAAACUAAAGCACAUAUCUUUAUAUCUAAAUGCCAUACACUCGAUUAAUGUAGUCCCUAACCCGUAGCUCAGCAAUCAAGUUUUUUCAGGACAUUUAAUCUAAUCAAGUUUGGAAUAUCCUUUUUCAGGACAUUUAAUCUAUGUAACCAACUAUACAGUCCAAAAUCAAAGUAACCUUUACUCCACAACUUAAAGAGAACGUUUACGAGAUCAUACAUCAAUGUGGAUAAAGAUUGAGAACUUUAUAGUAAGUGCCCAACUGUUACUCAUAGUAUUCUGAGCAUAAUAACAUGAUAUGUUUUUAACUUAAUAGUUUCAUAUUCUUAAAAAGCUCGCAAAUACUUAAUUGCACUUGUUACAUGAACGAGGUGAGGCAGAUGGGCCUGCUAUUGAUUCUAGUGUUUUCAGAAAAACAACUCAAUGUUUUCCAACCUGCACUUCAUGCUUUAGAUAUUGCUGUUAGCAAAAGUCUAAAUUGGACAUGUGAAGAUGAUAGCGACAGUUCAGCUUCCUUUUAAUAGCUACAAACAAGAUUAUGGACCUCUAUUAUAGCUACUUCCUCAGGUCCCUACCACACAUCAGCGAAUGCAUAUGUGGUUUAUCAUUGUAGGUUGAUGUGAAUGCCAAAACCCAUCAACCUACAACGAUAUUAGUGAGAAAUUACCACUCACCCAACCAGAGGUUGUUUUUUUUUUCCCUCUAUUUGAGAUAGAACCAACCAAACGUCCUUGCAAAGCACAACAAAGUUAUACGCUUUACAACUCCGCUGUAAAACCUCCAAUACAGCUUGGAAAACUACCAAUGAACAGUUCUUGGUUUUCCUCGACACAUUCAAUCAACUACUCCUCAUCCCAAUACUGAUGGUUCUUCCUUAGGUAACCCUAGGGUAGGAGGUACUGGAGGAGGAGCUAUACGUAACAAUAAAGGUGAAUGGCUACUAGGCUUCAUGAAGGAUAUUCCAAAUAGUACUAAUACUCUACAAAAUUAUUACUAGCUCUUAUGCACUGACUCAACAUUGCAAAGGAUAAUAACAACUUGAUGCCUCUAGAAAUCUCCAAAGACUCAGUUGAGGUCUUUAAUGCAACAACUGGGAUAUGCAGAACUCCCGCAUAACUACAGAGAGCAAAACAAGGUUGCUAACCUCUUAGCAAAGAUUUAACAGGGCCAAGUUAAACACGGGGCAUGUGAACCCGUGCUCUCUCCGUAUUGUAUGUAUACACUAUCUUCUAAAAUUAAUAAAGAGAUUACGUUACUUGAAA